This is a long non-coding RNA of Pimephales promelas (fathead minnow), 934 nucleotides long. RefSeq lists it as uncharacterized. The record is from RefSeq and is a predicted model, not a curated record. NCBI's taxonomy places the organism in Eukaryota, Metazoa, Chordata, Actinopteri, Cypriniformes, Leuciscidae.
GGCCCUGAGGGGGUUACUGUUGAAGUUGAAUGGCUUGUUUUAGCAGUUAAAUGGGUUGAUGAAAACUCUCCCCAGCUAAGAAUGCUUCUUUAAUGUUGAAAUGGAGUGACAGAAAUAAAGAAUGCUAUGAGUUUGAGUGGGUGUUACUCAUCCAAUGCUUUGGGGUGUGUGCAUAGAGUCUAAACACAACAGCCUAUAAGUACGCACAUCUCUGAUGCACACUCACAGUUCCUGACUGACAAACAAGAAACAUGGACAAGAACGUGGACAUGAUUAUCGACAAGGCUGCUGGGGUGGCCAAGGAGAAAGUUGGAGCAAUGAUCGGAGGAGACAAGAAAAAGGCAGGAGCUGCAAAAGAACAGGGGGAAGGAGGCAUCGGCGGUAUGUUGAGCGGUGCGGUCGGCAAGGCUGCAACAGACGCUGCAGGCAAUAAGGCAGCCGAGCAGGCGCUGGCCUUUGGGAAAGGCCUGUUGAAGUAAAAUUGAAUAUUUUAAACAUGAACUUUUACUAUCUCACUCACAGCUGUCUGCCAACUGGACCCCAUCCAUCUGCAAUUAUACUCUAACUUUCAACAUUGAAUAAUACUGUAUGUAUCUCCAGCAGUCUAGAAAUGAUGCCUGAAGCAGAUAACUUUCUGUAUACGUCUGUUUUGCACCUUUUUGAGCUCUGUAACUUAAAAAAUGUUAAAGUUAUUUGUAUAAAAAAAACUUUCAGAAAUAAAUUAUGGAAUAUUUAGAUGAUGUUAAUAAAACUAUCAGUGAAAGAAAUAAUUAAAGAGCAAUUGCUGUUAGUGGUUGAGUUUGUUCAAGUUUGUUUAUAUAUUUUAACCAUCUUUUGAAAUGUUUGACAUGAUUUCUGAAAUUGUCAAACUGGAUAAAAUGUUUUAAAAUGAGAGAAACAUCAUGGAAUCAAUAAAAUCCAUUGCUAACACUCA